RNAcentral lists this ribosomal RNA (214 nucleotides) under uncultured Desulfobacterium sp. Its description in RNAcentral is "partial 16S ribosomal RNA". It matches the Rfam family "Bacterial small subunit ribosomal RNA", at positions 1168 to 1382 of the family's 1533-position model. The record is from RNAcentral. Lineage: Bacteria; Pseudomonadati; Thermodesulfobacteriota; Desulfobacteria; Desulfobacterales; Desulfobacteriaceae.
GGAAGGUGGGAUGACGUCAAGUCCUCAUGGCCCUUAUGUCCAGGGCUACACACGUGCUACAAUGGGCAGUACAAAGGGUAGCAAGCCUGCGAAGGUGAGCCAAUCCCAAAAAGCUGUUCGUAGUUCGGAUUGGAGUCUGCAACUCGACUCCAUGAAGCUGGAAUCGCUAGUAAUCGCGGAUCAGCAUGCCGCGGUGAAUACGUUCCCGGGCCUU